Molecule: long non-coding RNA, 416 nt
Filed under: Parus major (Great Tit)
Lineage: Eukaryota; Metazoa; Chordata; Aves; Passeriformes; Paridae
Description: lncRNA (ENSPMJG00000011657.1)
Source: RNAcentral
UGAUGCUUCCAGCCUGUGGUCCCUGCUCUGAAUACAAGCAGUUCUCUGUGUCUGAGACUUGACAAGUAACAUCAAAGAUGACUCAAGAACAAAGCUAACCAACCAUGGCCUGCAGCAUCCUUCAACCAGGAGUUAUCUUUAGUCAAGCUUUGCUAUCUAAUUUUUAGUGUUUCUGUUUGUACUCUUUAAGAAGAAGUCCUAAAACUCUUGUGGUAUAAAGCUUUCCUUGUUUCUAUCUGGAAGUUCUGUCAGCCACAGGGAGAGGACAGUGAAGAAAUUAAGAUAAAGCACAAUUUCUAUGUUGUAAAGAACUUUCUUUUUUUCCUUCACUUUUAUGAUGGUUAUUACAAUAUACUGAGAUCAUCAUAAAUGAAGGGAGCAACAACUUUUAGAGUGUAAAAAGCUCUGGUCUGCUC